RNAcentral lists this long non-coding RNA (1708 nucleotides) under Homo sapiens (human). Its description in RNAcentral is "non-protein coding lnc-RIPK4-5:1". Lineage: Eukaryota; Metazoa; Chordata; Mammalia; Primates; Hominidae. The record is from RNAcentral.
GAGUAGGCGCGAGCUAAGCAGGAGGCGGAGGCGGAGGCGGAGGGCGAGGGGCGGGGAGCGCCGCCUGGAGCGCGGCAGGUCAUAUUGAACAUUCCAGAUACCUAUCAUUACUCGAUGCUGUUGAUAACAGCAAGAUGGCUUUGAACUCAAGGUCAGGAGUUUGAGACCAGCCUGACCAAUAUGGUGAAACCUUAUCUCCACUAAAAAUACAAAAAUUAGCCAAGCGCGGUGGCGGGUGCCUGUAAUUCCAGCUAUUCAGGAGGCUGAGGCAGGAGAAUCACUUGAACCUGGGAGGCGGAGGUUGCAGUGAGCUGAGAUCACGCCACUGCAUUCCAGCCUGGGAGACAGAGCUGGCUCAAAAAAUAAAUUAAUUAAUUAAAAACAAAAUUGGAGAUGCACUAUGUUAUUUUCAAAACAAGCUGCCUUUAAAGAUCUAUCUGUUGUCACAGGGUGGGCUCAUCUGUUUCAUUUUAUUUUCUGUGGUUUAUCUAUUUAUUCAUUUUAAUGAACUAGGAAGCAUUGCUCCUAUUUAUGGCAUACCACAUGAUGUUUGGAUACGUGUAUGCCUGUGGCAUGGCUAAGUCAAGCUAGAACAUGGGCCUUACCUCAUAUACGUGUCUUAUUAAGAACACAUAAAACCUACUCUUGUAGUGAUUUUCAAAUAUGCAACAUAUAGUUUAUUAACUGCAGUCACUAUGAUGUACAAUAGAUUGCUCGAACUUAUUCCUCCUGUCUAACUAAGAUUUUGUGACCUCUGACCAACAUCUCCCCAGUGUUGUCACCCCCCGCCCCCAGCCUCUGAUAGCUGCCUUUCUACUCUCUGCUUCUGUGAGUUUGAUGUUUAUACAUUCCACAUGUAAGUGGCCUCAUGCAGUGUUUCUGUCUCUGUGUCUGGCUUGUUCACUUAGCGUAAUGUCCUCCAGCUUCAUCUAUGUUGUUGGAAAUGACAGGAUUUCCUUCUUUCUUGUGGCUGAAUAGUAUUGCCUUGUGCAUAUACACCACAUUUUCUUUAUCCCUUCAUUCACUGAUGGACUCUUAGGUUGAUGUCAUGUCUUGGCUGUUGUGAAAAAUGCCGCAGUGAGCGUGGGCGUGCAGGUCCCUCUUCAACACACGGAUUUCCUUUCCUUUGGAUAUAAACCCAGCAGUGAGAUUGCUGGAUCACAUGGCAGUUCUGUUUCUCACCUUUUGAGGAAACUCCAUACUGUUUUCCAUAAUGGCUGUAGCAACUUCCACUCCCACCCCCACGGUGCAAAGUCUCCAUUUCUCUUCUACAACCUCACCAACUCCUGUUAUUUUCCAUCUUUCUGAUAGUAGCCAUUUGAAGAGGUAUGAGAUGAUACCUCAUUGUGGUUUUCAUUUGCAUUUUUAUUUGUAUUUUUCAUGAAUUUUUGAGGGUGAUUUCAAGGGUAGUUAGUGACUCGAACAGGGAAACGAUCCUGAGUAUGAGGGUUGUGCUAAUCAUCCCCCUCCUGCCAGCUGCGUACGGAAUGGGGCUCUGCAGAUGGCAGGGAGCUGGCUCGUUUCUCUUUAAGAGCUGCCUUUUACUUUUCUUCCUCUUCCUUUAAAACUUAUUUCCUGGCCGGACGCAGUGGCUCAUGCCUGUAAUCCCAGCACUUUGGGAGGCCGAGGUGGGCGGAUCACGAGGUCAGGAAUUCCAGACCAGCCUGGCCAACAUGGUGAAACCCCGUCUCUACUAAAAAUACAAAAA